UACAGAGGUCCCAAGCGUUGUUCGGAUUCAUUGGGCGUAAAGCGCACGUAGGCGGAUUGCUAAGUCAGGGGUGAAAUCCUGGAGCUCAACUCCAGAACUGCCUUUGAUACUGGCGAUCUCGAGUCCGGGAGAGGUGAGUGGAACUGCGAGUGUAGAGGUGAAAUUCGUAGAUAUUCGCAAGAACACCAGUGGCGAAGGCGGCUCACUGGCCCGGUACUGACGCUGAGGUGCGAAAGCGUGGGUAGCAAACAGG
Molecule: ribosomal RNA, 253 nt
Filed under: uncultured bacterium
Lineage: Bacteria
Description: partial 16S ribosomal RNA
Rfam family: Bacterial small subunit ribosomal RNA
Source: RNAcentral